UGACCACACCAAUACAGAAUCGAUCAAUUAUUCGCCUUUCUCAAGCAAUAAAAAAGGCACAAACCCAAAUCUGUGAGCUUGUGCCCUUCCU
RNAcentral lists this small RNA (91 nucleotides) under Vibrio cholerae O1 biovar El Tor str. N16961. Lineage: Bacteria; Pseudomonadati; Pseudomonadota; Gammaproteobacteria; Vibrionales; Vibrionaceae. The record is from RNAcentral.